CUGACAGUCGUCUAAGUCUUAG
This 22-nucleotide microRNA is filed under the name Callorhinchus milii (elephant shark). RNAcentral describes it as "Cmi-Novel-10_5p (mature (co-guide))". The record is from RNAcentral. Lineage: Eukaryota; Metazoa; Chordata; Chondrichthyes; Chimaeriformes; Callorhinchidae.